Molecule: non-coding RNA, 628 nt
Filed under: Batrachochytrium dendrobatidis JEL423
Lineage: Eukaryota; Fungi; Chytridiomycota; Chytridiomycetes; Rhizophydiales
Description: Microsporidia small subunit ribosomal RNA
Rfam family: Eukaryotic small subunit ribosomal RNA
Source: Rfam by way of RNAcentral
GGUGUUGUGUAACCGCAAGGUAAUUAAUCUAAGAUCCUCAUGGCUGUGAUCCUCACAUUGUGUAACCGCAAGGUAAUUAAUCCAAGGUCCUCAUGGCUGUGAUCCUCACACGUUCUUAGUUGGUGGAGUGAUUUGUCUGGUUAAUUCCGAUAACGAACGAGACCUUGACCUGCUAAAUAGUCAAGCCAACACUGUUGGUUCGAAUUGACUUCUUAGAGGGACUGUAGACUAAAGUCUACGGAAGUUUGAGGCAAUAACAGGUCUGUGAUGCCCUUAGAUGUUCUGGGCCGCACGCGCGCUACACUGACAUGGGCAACGAGUUUUGACCUUUGCCGAAAGGUAUGGGUAAUCUUUUGAAACCAUGUCGUGCUGGGGAUUGUCCUUUGUAAUUAUUGGACAUGAACGAGGAAUUCCUAGUAAGCGCGAGUCAUCAGCUCGCGUUGAUUACGUCCCUGCCCUUUGUACACACCGCCCGUCGCUACUACCGAUUGAAUGGCUUAGUGAGACCUUUGGAUUUUGGAAUUUUAAAACUGGUGACGGUUUUUUAAUUUAAAAGAAGCUGGUCAAACUUGGUCAUUUAGAGGAAGUAAAAGUCGUAACAAGGUAACCGUAGAUGAACCUGCGGUUG